Molecule: ribosomal RNA, 439 nt
Filed under: Capnocytophaga gingivalis
Lineage: Bacteria; Pseudomonadati; Bacteroidota; Flavobacteriia; Flavobacteriales; Flavobacteriaceae
Description: bacterial SSU rRNA
Rfam family: Bacterial small subunit ribosomal RNA
Source: RNAcentral
AUGAACGCUAGCGGCAGGCCUAACACAUGCAAGUCGAGGGAGAAGCCCUUUCGGGGGCAGAAACCGGCGCACGGGUGCGUAACGCGUAUGCAACCUACCUUUCACAGGGGGAUAGCCCGAAGAAAUUUGGAUUAAUACCCCAUAAUAUUGUUGGAUGGCAUCAUCUAGCAAUUAAAGCUACGACGGUGGAAGAUGGGCAUGCGUCCUAUUAGCUAGUUGGAGUGGUAACGGCACCCCAAGGCUACGAUAGGUAGGGGUCCUGAGAGGGAGAUCCCCCACACUGGUACUGAGACAGGGACCAGACUCCUACGGGAGGCAGCAGUGAGGAAUAUUGGUCAAUGGUCGGAAGACUGAACCAGCCAUGCCGCGUGCAGGAAGAAUGCCUUAUGGGUUGUAAACUGCUUUUAUAUGGGAAGAAUAAGGCGUACGUGUACGUUGA